RNAcentral lists this ribosomal RNA (566 nucleotides) under uncultured Stenotrophomonas sp. RNAcentral describes it as "bacterial SSU rRNA". It matches the Rfam family "Bacterial small subunit ribosomal RNA", at positions 771 to 1334 of the family's 1533-position model. Lineage: Bacteria; Pseudomonadati; Pseudomonadota; Gammaproteobacteria; Lysobacterales; Lysobacteraceae. The record is from RNAcentral.
AACCGGAUUAGAUACCCUGGGUAGUCCACGCCCUAAACGAUGCGAACUGGAUGUUGGGUGCAAUUUGGCACGCAGUAUCGAAGCUAACGCGUUAAGUUCGCCGCCUGGGGAGUACGGUCGCAAGACUGAAACUCAAAGGAAUUGACGGGGGCCCGCACAAGCGGUGGAGUAUGUGGUUUAAUUCGAUGCAACGCGAAGAACCUUACCUGGCCUUGACAUGUCGAGAACUUUCCAGAGAUGGAUUGGUGCCUUCGGGAACUCGAACACAGGUGCUGCAUGGCUGCCGUCAGCUCGUGUCGUGAGAUGUUGGGUUAAGUCCCGCAACGAGCGCAACCCUUGUCCUUAGUUGCCAGCACGUAAUGGUGGGAACUCUAAGGAGACCGCCGGUGACAAACCGGAGGAAGGUGGGGAUGACGUCAAGUCAUCAUGGCCCUUACGGCCAGGGCUACACACGUACUACAAUGGUAGGGACAGAGGGCUGCAAGCCGGCGACGGUAAGCCAAUCCCAGAAACCCUAUCUCAGUCCGGAUUGGAGUCUGCAACUCGACUCCAUGAAGUCGGAAUCG